RNAcentral lists this unclassified non-coding RNA (320 nucleotides) under Hevea brasiliensis (rubber tree). Lineage: Eukaryota; Viridiplantae; Streptophyta; Magnoliopsida; Malpighiales; Euphorbiaceae. The record is from RNAcentral.
GGCAAUAAUAGACAGAAUUAUGUCCCACCGAAGCCAUCGAGGCAAAUUAUCCACGAAACCUUUGGCCAUCUGGAGGCAGUUUGGCAGGGUUAAGGAAGAAGGGAAGAGAGUAACCCUUGAUUCCUUCGAAUUGGAAGUGUGAGAAUGCAAAUUCCAAACUGAAGGAAGAAAGGUAGUUUGGCAAGGCUUAGAAAGAAGGGAAGAGAGCACACCCUUGAUUCCUUCUAAUUGGAAUAAUUGCGCGAAUGCAAAUUCCUAAUUGGAAAAAUUGUGACCGCAAAUUCCAAAUUGAAGGGAAGUGAGUAUACCCUUAGCCUAUC